GGCAAGAGUCCCUCCGGAGAGGUGCUUACGUAAAGUUACUACGCAAAGGAGGCUCCGGGUGAACCUUACCUAUCGUUGCUUCGGCGGUCACGCCCCGGCGCCCUCGCGGCCCGGACCCAGGCGCCCGCCGGAGACCCCAAACCCUCUGUCUUUAGUGGUUUUCUCCUCUGAGUGACAUAAACAAAUAAAUAAAAACUUUCAACAACGGAUCUCUUCGAUGCCACAUCGAUGAAGAACGCAGCGAAAUGCGAUAAGUAAUGUGAAUUGCAGAAUUCGUUAAAUCAGAGUUUCUUUGAACGCACAUUGCGCCCGCCAGUAUUCUGGCGGGAGGCCGGGAGCGAGCGUCAUUUCAACCCUCAGGCCCCAGUGCCUGGCGUGGGUUAUAGAGCGUAAACUCAGUAAUGAUCCCUCCGCAGGUUACCUACGGACCCCUGAGAUUCAGUGGCGGUCUCGCUGUAGCCCUCCUCCGCGUAGUAGCGCGACAUCCGGCCUCGCUCGGCGGGUCGGCGCGUUAUAACCAAACACCCCACUUCUGAAAGUUGACCUCGGAUCAGGUAGGAAUACCCGCUGAACUUAAGCAUAUCAAUAAGCGGAGA
This 596-nucleotide ribosomal RNA is filed under the name Myrothecium sp. M16-GM-369. Its description in RNAcentral is "eukaryotic LSU rRNA". The stretch from base 194 to 347 matches the Rfam family "5.8S ribosomal RNA". Lineage: Eukaryota; Fungi; Ascomycota; Sordariomycetes; Hypocreales; Stachybotryaceae. The record is from RNAcentral.